This 274-nucleotide ribosomal RNA is filed under the name uncultured bacterium. RNAcentral describes it as "partial 16S ribosomal RNA". It matches the Rfam family "Bacterial small subunit ribosomal RNA", at positions 523 to 796 of the family's 1533-position model. The record is from RNAcentral.
AUACGGAGGGUGCAGGCGUUACUCGGAAUCACUUGGCGUAAAGCGCGCGCAGGCGGCCAUUUAAGUUGGAUGUGAAAGCCUACGGCUCAACCGUAGAACUGCAUCCAAAACUAUUUGGCUAGAGUGUGAGAGAGGAAGAUGGAAUUAGUUGUGUAGGGGUAAAAUCCGUAGAGAUAACUAGUAAUACCAAAAGCGAAGGCAAUCUUCUGGAACAUUACUGACGCUGAGGCGCGAAAGCGUGGGGAGCAAACAGGAUUAGAAACCCCGGUAGUCC